RNAcentral lists this ribosomal RNA (912 nucleotides) under Rostellascaris sp. 'oceanica'. Its description in RNAcentral is "SSU rRNA". It matches the Rfam family "Eukaryotic small subunit ribosomal RNA", at positions 823 to 1751 of the family's 1831-position model. Lineage: Eukaryota; Metazoa; Nematoda; Chromadorea; Rhabditida; Ascarididae. The record is from RNAcentral.
GAGGGUCUCCGCGCCUCUCUUUGGGUUUUUCGAUAGAAAUAAGGAUAAAGAGAGACCGCGGGGGGCCUCUGUAUUCGCUGCGUAGGGGGGGAAUAUUCUUGACUCUGUAGGGAGACGUCCGACUGCGAAGCCAUUUCCCAGAAUGUCUUCUUUAAUCAAGAACCGAACUCAAAGGGUUUGAAGGCGAUCAGAAUCCCGCCCUUGGUUCUGCCCGGUAAAGAUACCAACAGGGGUCCGUUCGGCGGAAAAACCCCUUAACGGGCAGCUUCCCCGGAAACGAAAGUUCUUUGGGUUCCGGGGGGAAGUAGGUUGCAAAGCUGAAACUUAAAGAAAUUGACGGAAGGGCACCACCAGGAGUGGAGCCUGCGGCUUAAUUUGACUCAACACGGGAAAACUCACCUGGCCCGGACACCGUGAGGAAUUGACAGAUUGAUAGCUCUUUCUUGAUUCGGUGGUUGGUGGUGCAUGGCCGUUCUUAGUGGGUAGAGUGAUUUGUCUGGUUUAUUCCGAUAACGAGCGAGACUCUAGCCUACUAAAUAGUCAUCGGAUAAUUGCGUCCGGAAGACUUCUUAGAGGGACAAGCGGUAUUCAGCCGCAUGAAGUUGAGCAAUAACAGGUCUGUGAUGCCCUUAGAUGUCCAGGGCUGCACGCGCGCUACACUGGAGGAAUCAGCGUGCUGUAACCAUUGCCGAAAGGUAUUGGUAACCCCUUGAAAAUCCUCCGUGAUCGGGAUCGGGAAUUGCAAUUAUUUCCCUUGAACGAGGAAUUCCUAGUAAGUGUGAGUCAUCAGCUCACGUAGAUUACGUCCCUGCCCUUUGUACACACCGCCCGUCGCUGCCCGGGAUUGGGCCGUUUCGAGAAAAGCGGGGACUGCUGUUUGAUACCUGCUGCUAUAGGGUUAUGCGGAACGGA